RNAcentral lists this ribosomal RNA (549 nucleotides) under uncultured Bacteroidota bacterium. RNAcentral describes it as "bacterial SSU rRNA". It matches the Rfam family "Bacterial small subunit ribosomal RNA", at positions 373 to 919 of the family's 1533-position model. The record is from RNAcentral. Lineage: Bacteria; Pseudomonadati; Bacteroidota.
AGGAGAAAUCUGAACCAGCCCGCUCGCGUGAAGGAAGACGGCCCUACGGGUUGUAAACUUCUUUUGUAAGGGAAUAAAUAGUCUUACGCGCUAGCACGUUGCAUGUACCUUACUAAUAAGGAUCGGCUAACUCCGUGCCCGCAGCCGCGGUAAUACGGAGGAUCCGAGCGUUAUCCGGAUUUAUUGGGUUUAAAGGGUGCGCAGGCGGCAUGUUAAUUCGGCGGUGAAAUUUUGCACGCUCAACUGUAAAAGAGCCUUCAAAACUGGCAAGCUUGAUUGUGGAUGAAGUAGGCGGAAUUUGUGGUGUAGCGGUGAAAUGCAUACAUAUCACAGAGAACACCGAUUGCGCAGGCAGCUUACUAAACCAUAACUGACGCUCAUGCACGAAGGCGUGGGGAUCAAACAGGAUUAAAUACCCUGGUAGUCCACCCACUAAACGAUGAUUACUGGCUGUUUGCGAUACAAUGUAAGCCGCUGAGCGAAAGCGUUAAGUAAUCCACCUGGCCGAGUACGUUCGCAAGAAUGAAACUCAAAGGAUAUGGACGGAUG